RNAcentral lists this small RNA (126 nucleotides) under Flavobacteriia bacterium. RNAcentral describes it as "6S RNA". It matches the Rfam family "6S-Flavo RNA". The record is from RNAcentral. Lineage: Bacteria; Pseudomonadati; Bacteroidota; Flavobacteriia.
ACUCAACACUAUAUAUUUAAAAAGGGUGAGUCUAAGUUAGUAAAGCGUGCCGCUUGUGCCGAAUUUAUUUGGUAUCUCGGAUACUUGAUCAGCUUGUUAGCCCUAAACUUGUCUUACAAGGAGUUU